This 400-nucleotide unclassified non-coding RNA is filed under the name soil metagenome. RNAcentral's name for it is "partial contains 5.8S ribosomal RNA, internal transcribed spacer 2, and large subunit ribosomal RNA". The stretch from base 1 to 122 matches the Rfam family "5.8S ribosomal RNA", at positions 35 to 154 of the family's 154-position model. The record is from RNAcentral.
GAUGAAGAACGCAGCGAAAUGCGAUACUUGGUGUGAAUUGCAGAAUCCCGUGAACCAUCGAGUCUUUGAACGCAAGUUGCGCCUCAAGCCAUUAGGUUGAGGGCACGUCUGCCUGGGCGUCACAUAUCGUUGCCUGAUGCCAGUUUCCUCGUGAUGGGUGACUGUGCAGGGCGAAUGAUGGCUUCCCGUGAGCAUUGUUGCCUCAUGGUUGGUUGAAAAUUGAGUCCUUGGUAGGGAGCGCCGUGAUAGAUGGUGGUUGAGUGACGAACGAGACCCAAUCAUGUGAGACCCCUACCGAAUUUGGCCUUCAUGACCCACAUGCGUCUUUGGAACGCUCAUGACGAGACCUCAGGUCAGGCGGGGCUACACGCUGAGUUUAAGCAUAUCAAUAAGCGGAGGA